Molecule: small nucleolar RNA, 87 nt
Filed under: Kwoniella heveanensis BCC8398
Lineage: Eukaryota; Fungi; Basidiomycota; Tremellomycetes; Tremellales; Cryptococcaceae
Source: RNAcentral
UUUCUGUGAUGUAACAAAUUAUUCAGUUCUGCUACCGAGUGUUCGUGAGCGAUAAACCAAAUAUACCAAAAAAACACUAUCUGAGCC